RNAcentral lists this transfer RNA (72 nucleotides) under Heterocephalus glaber (naked mole-rat). It matches the Rfam family "tRNA". From Rfam's summary of the family: Transfer RNA (tRNA) molecules are approximately 80 nucleotides in length. Their secondary structure includes four short double-helical elements and three loops (D, anti-codon, and T loops). The record is from Rfam by way of RNAcentral. Lineage: Eukaryota; Metazoa; Chordata; Mammalia; Rodentia; Bathyergidae.
AGUUAUGGAGCUCAGUGGUAGAGCACUUGCCUAACAUGCAGGAAGCCCUGAGUUUGAUCUCCAACAUCACAA